RNAcentral lists this ribosomal RNA (429 nucleotides) under Bacteroidota bacterium. RNAcentral describes it as "Bacteroidetes bacterium partial 16S ribosomal RNA". It matches the Rfam family "Bacterial small subunit ribosomal RNA", at positions 355 to 776 of the family's 1533-position model. Lineage: Bacteria; Pseudomonadati; Bacteroidota. The record is from RNAcentral.
UAGGGAAUCUUCGGCAAUGGGGGGAACCCUGACCGAGCAACGCCGCGUGAGUGAAGAAGGUUUUCGGAUCGUAAAGCUCUGUUGUUAAGGAAGAACGAGUGUGAGAAUGGAAAGUUCAUACUGUGACGGUACUUAACCAGAAAGGGACGGCUAACUACGUGCCAGCAGCCGCGGUAAUACGUAGGUCCCGAGCGUUGUCCGGAUUUAUUGGGCGUAAAGCGAGCGCGGGCGGUUAGAUAAGUCUGAAGUUAAAGGCAGUGGCUCAACCAUUGUAGGCUUUGGAAACUGUUUAACUUGAGUGCAGAAGGGGAGAGUGGAAUUCCAUGUGUAGCGGUGAAAUGCGUAGAUAUAUGGAGGAACACCGGUGGCGAAAGCGGCUCUCUGGUCUGUAACUGACGCUGAGGCUCGAAAGCGUGGGGAGCGAACAGG